This 354-nucleotide ribosomal RNA is filed under the name Macrocerca sp. 1 FL-2016. Its description in RNAcentral is "12S ribosomal RNA". Lineage: Eukaryota; Metazoa; Arthropoda; Insecta; Blattodea; Blattidae. The record is from RNAcentral.
UUUAGAUGUAAAUUAUUUAACUUAAGUAGUAUUAGUUAAUAUCUUGAAACUUAAAGAAUUUGGCGGUAUUUUAGUCUAUUUAGAGGAAUCUGUCCCUUAAUCGAUAAUCCACGUUGUACCUUACCAAUAUUUAUGUAUGUAUACCGCCGUUAAUAAUGAAUAUCUUAAUAGGGUUUAAUAAUUUUCUGGAUUUUUUUAAUUAAAUAUAUUUCAGGUCAAGGUGCAGUUUAUGUUUUGGUGGAGAUGGAUUACAUUAUAUUUUUAUUUGAAUUAUUUAUUGUAAAUUAAGUAUGAAAAUGGAUUUAAUUGUAAAUUUUUAUAGAUUGUAAAGUUGAUUUUAGCUCUAUAAUAUGU